AAAUUGAAGAGUUUGAUCAUGGCUCAGAUUGAACGCUGGCGGCAGGCCUAACACAUGCAAGUCGAGCGGCAGCGGGAAAGUAGCUUGCUACUUUUGCCGGCGAGCGGCGGACGGGUGAGUAAUGCCUGGGGAUCUGCCCAGUCGAGGGGGAUAACUACUGGAAACGGUAGCUAAUACCGCAUACGCCCUACGGGGGAAAGCAGGGGACCUUCGGGCCUUGCGCGAUUGGAUGAACCCAGGUGGGAUUAGCUAGUUGGUGAGGUAAUGGCUCACCAAGGCGACGAUCCCUAGCUGGUCUGAGAGGAUGAUCAGCCACACUGGAACUGAGACACGGUCCAGACUCCUACGGGAGGCAGCAGUGGGGAAUAUUGCACAAUGGGGGAAACCCUGAUGCAGCCAUGCCGCGUGUGUGAAGAAGGCCUUCGGGUUGUAAAGCACUUUCAGCGAGGAGGAAAGGUUGGUAGCUAAUAACUGCCAGCUGUGACGUUACUCGCAGAAGAAGCACCGGCUAACUCCGUGCC
Molecule: ribosomal RNA, 521 nt
Filed under: Aeromonas veronii
Lineage: Bacteria; Pseudomonadati; Pseudomonadota; Gammaproteobacteria; Aeromonadales; Aeromonadaceae
Description: bacterial SSU rRNA
Rfam family: Bacterial small subunit ribosomal RNA
Source: RNAcentral